UCAUAGAUGGCUAGACAAAAUGGUUCUAGAAGUCCGUAAGCUCCAGGAAUUAUUUUUCAGGACAAUGUAGUGUCUACAGUGAGCCCCACUAUCUUUCACUAUACAAACUACAGUUCUACAAUGUAGUUCAAAAUGGUACUUUCUUAAAGGGGAAUUUAGUUAAGUUCAAACUUUCUAAAACCUCAUCCUACAGUUUCACAGGGUCUCUUCCCAGCCAUUGGUUUCAAAGAAGAAGAUGUGGUGGACACUAGAUCAUAAAGACUGAGUAACGGUAGUUUUAUUCAAGGGAAAAAAAAAAAAUCAGAAAACUGAUACUCUAAGAAAAUUAGCAUUUCGUGUCAUCUGAGAAUAAAUAUUAAU
This is a long non-coding RNA of Leopardus geoffroyi (Geoffroy's cat), 360 nucleotides long. RefSeq lists it as uncharacterized. NCBI's taxonomy places the organism in Eukaryota, Metazoa, Chordata, Mammalia, Carnivora, Felidae. The transcript is spliced from 2 exons. The record is from RefSeq and is a predicted model, not a curated record.